Molecule: long non-coding RNA, 444 nt
Organism: Hypanus sabinus (Atlantic stingray)
Lineage: Eukaryota; Metazoa; Chordata; Chondrichthyes; Myliobatiformes; Dasyatidae
Exons: 3
Source: RefSeq, a predicted model, not a curated record
AGAGCAAGAAACAACACAGAGUGCGGCCUUAGAUUAGAAUACAUUGGAACAUCAAAACAUACCGUGAAAUUCAUUGUCUGCAUCAAUGACCAACACAGGAAACUAUGCUGGGGGGAGGGAGCCAACGUGUCGCCACAGUUCCAGUGCCAACACAGCAUUCCCACAACUUACUAACCCUAAUCCGUUCAUCAUUGAUAAACUCACAGGUCCCGACGGAUUGGAAGACGGCAAAUGUCACACCACUGUUCAAAAAAGGAUGUAUGCAAAAAGCAGGUGAUUAAGUGGCUUUUGUCUCAGACUAUCACUGUUGAUGGCAUUCGUGACAAAGAUGGUGUGAAAAAAACUCUAUCUCCGUCCUCAGAGAGACUUCGAGUGUCUGAUUCUCUGUGAGUGCAGAAGGAAGGUUCCCUCUCGUAGCUUGCUACUAAUAAAGGCGGAAAAGAA